RNAcentral lists this ribosomal RNA (442 nucleotides) under uncultured bacterium. RNAcentral's name for it is "partial 16S ribosomal RNA". It matches the Rfam family "Bacterial small subunit ribosomal RNA", at positions 338 to 795 of the family's 1533-position model. The record is from RNAcentral.
CCUACGGGUGGCAGCAGUGGGGAAUAUUGGGCAAUGGGCGCAGGCCUGACCCAGCAACGCCGCGUGAAGGAAGAAGGCUUUCGGGUUGUAAACUUCUUUUGUCAGGGAAGAGUAGAAGACGGUACCUGACGAAUAAGCCACGGCUAACUACGUGCCAGCAGCCGCGGUAAUACGUAGGUGGCAAGCGUUGUCCGGAUUUACUGGGUGUAAAGGGCGUGUAGCCGGGUUGACAAGUCAGAUGUGAAAUCCUGCGGCUUAACCGCAGAACUGCAUGUGAAACUGUUGAUCUUGAGUACUGGAGAGGCAGAUGGAAUUCCUAGUGUAGCGUUGAAAUGCGUAGAUAUUAGGAGGAACACCAGUGGCGAAGGCGGUCUGCUGGACAGCAACUGACGGUGAGGCGCGAAAGCGUGGGGAGCAAACAGGAUUAGAUACCCGGGUAGUC